This 734-nucleotide long non-coding RNA is filed under the name Apteryx haastii (Great spotted kiwi). RNAcentral describes it as "lncRNA (ENSAHAG00000007780.1)". Lineage: Eukaryota; Metazoa; Chordata; Aves; Apterygiformes; Apterygidae. The record is from RNAcentral.
AGGGGGAAGAUCAGUGUGGGAGGUGUCUGUCCCCUAAAGGCGAGACUUUAAGAUACUAUAACAGCGUGCAGUGAACCUUGGCGUCUGCGUUGAUCCUGCUCUGCUGGCUGCUGCGCUUACUUGCAGGUCUGAAGGGAAAAUCCAGUCUGAAAACCUUACCAAAAAUUAAAGAAAAGCUUGAAGCGACCCAAGCGACCCAUUCAUCCAAUCAAAGCACUCUAGUGCAUGUCAAAGAGGUGACCAACAUAGAAGAAACUGAAGAGAAAACAGGAGAAAGCACUGUACUGCUGAAGGAAUCUUCAGUAAUCAACUUUGAAAGUAAAGAAAGUUUGAAAAAUGCUGAAGUGACUUCAAGUACAGAAUUGACUCUUCCCACAGGUGUUUCAACCUUUCUACUAGAGUGUUUAGAUGUAGAUUCCACUGCAGACUAUAACACAGGCUCUAAUGACAGCAUGAACAAUUGCUCAUCCCCUGAAACAUUCAGAGAUGAAGAUAUUUCAGAUAGAAGUAACCUUUUCUCUGAGGACUGUGUCAAAUAUAAGAACUCAACUCUCCUGGACUCCAGCAAAGCAAUGACCAUAGACAAGAUGCCACAGAUCUCAAAUCUGUCAGCAAUAUUAGAACCUAUGCUGGAGGAUUUUCAAGACCAAUACACUAGAAGAAAUAAACCAUCAAAAUGCAAUUACAGUUCUUCAGCAUUAAAUGUUUCAACUACUCUAGCAGGUAAAAUAUGA